GACGAACGCUGGCGGCGUGCCUAAUACAUGCAAGUAGAACGCUGAAGCGAGGAGCUUGCUCUUCUUGGAUGAGUUGCGAACGGGUGAGUAACGCGUAGGUAACCUGCCUUGUAGCGGGGGAUAACUACUGGAAACGAUAGCUAAUACCGCAUAACAAUGGAUGACACAUGUCAUUUAUUUGAAAGGGGCAAUUGCUCCACUACAAGAUGGACCUGCGUUGUAUUAGCUAGUAGGUGAGGUAAUGGCUCACCUAGGCGACGAUACAUAGCCGACCUGAGAGGGUGAUCGGCCACACUGGGACUGAGACACGGCCCAGACUCCUACGGGAGGCAGCAGUAGGGAAUCUUCGGCAAUGGGGGCAACCCUGACCGAGCAACGCCGCGUGAGUGAAGAAGGGUUUCGGAUCGUAAAGCUCUGUUGUAAGUCAAGAACGGGUGUGAGAGUGGAAAGUUCACACUGUGACGGUAGCUUACCAGAAAGAGACGGCUAACUACGUG
This 497-nucleotide ribosomal RNA is filed under the name uncultured bacterium. RNAcentral describes it as "partial 16S ribosomal RNA". It matches the Rfam family "Bacterial small subunit ribosomal RNA", at positions 28 to 507 of the family's 1533-position model. The record is from RNAcentral.